This 157-nucleotide ribosomal RNA is filed under the name uncultured bacterium. Its description in RNAcentral is "partial 16S ribosomal RNA". It matches the Rfam family "Bacterial small subunit ribosomal RNA", at positions 355 to 509 of the family's 1533-position model. The record is from RNAcentral.
UGAGGAAUAUUGGUCAAUGGGCGGGAGCCUGAACCAGCCAAGCCGCGUGAGGGAAUAAGGCCCUACGGGUCGUAAACCUCUUUUGUCGGGGAACAAAAGCGGGGACGCGUCCCCGUCUGCGUGUACCCGAAGAAAAAGCAUCGGCUAACUCCGUGCC